CAAGAGCGUAUGUAAAAGUUGUUGCAGUUAAAAAGCACGUAGUUGAACCUUGGGUUUGGUUGGCCGGUCCGCUUUUUUGCGAGUACUGGAUUCAACCGAGCCUUUCCUUCUGGCUAACCAGUCGUUUCGGCGGCUGGCGAACCAGGAUUUUUACUUUGAGAAAAUUAGAGUGUUCAAAGCAGGCAUUAGCUUGAAUAUAUUAGCAUGGAAUAAUAGAAUAGGACGUUAUGGUUCUAUUUUGUUGGUUUCUAGGACCAUCGUAAUGAUUAAUAGGGACGGUCGGGGGCAUCAGUAUUCAGUUGUCAGAGGUGAAAUUCUUGGAUUUACUGAAGACUAACUACUGCGAAAGCAUUUGCCAAGGACGUUUUCAUUAA
RNAcentral lists this ribosomal RNA (374 nucleotides) under uncultured eukaryote. RNAcentral describes it as "partial 18S ribosomal RNA". It matches the Rfam family "Eukaryotic small subunit ribosomal RNA", at positions 592 to 976 of the family's 1831-position model. The record is from RNAcentral.